RNAcentral lists this ribosomal RNA (253 nucleotides) under uncultured bacterium. RNAcentral describes it as "partial 16S ribosomal RNA". It matches the Rfam family "Bacterial small subunit ribosomal RNA", at positions 524 to 776 of the family's 1533-position model. The record is from RNAcentral.
UACGUAGGUGGCGAGCGUUACUCGGAAUCACUAGGCGUAAAGCGCGUGUAGGCGGUAUUUUAAGUCUGUUGUGAAAUCUUAUGGCUCAACCAUAAAAUGUCGACAGAUACUGAAGUACUAGAGUGAGGCAGGGGAAACUGGAAUUCCAGGUGUAGCGGUGGAAUGCGUAGAUAUCUGGAAGAACGCCAAAGGCGAAGGCAGGUUUCUGGGCCUUUACUGACGCUGAGACGCGAAAGCUAGGGGAGCAAACAGG